Molecule: long non-coding RNA, 676 nt
Organism: Myotis davidii
Lineage: Eukaryota; Metazoa; Chordata; Mammalia; Chiroptera; Vespertilionidae
Exons: 3
Source: RefSeq, a predicted model, not a curated record
AGACAUUUUUAGUGGUGACAGCUGGCCCUGUGGAACUCGGCUCGAGUGCGGGAAGGUUUUUAAAAAGAGAGGGAGCCAAACCGCCGCCACUUUAAAUAGCAGCGCGGCAUGGAGAGGCGGGAGGGAGCGUGCGCUGGAGCCUGGCCGGCCUCCGUGCUCAGGCUCCAUGCGAUGCGGGGAGGCCCAAGCCGCGAGGACCGCCGAGCUCAGUGGUCCCAGCUCCACAUCUGACCGAGGGAGGCCCUGAGGUCCAGAGAGAGCAGAUGUCACACCUUCAUCUUCUCCAGGAUCACGUGUGACACAUCGAGAAACAUGCUUAUUUUUACGUGAGAAAAGCUCCAGUUAACAAUAAUAUCUACGCAUUCAUGGGAUUACUUACUACAUGCCGGACGCUAACGUCAGCUGGGGUGCUGCUCCUGCAUUCUGUGGGUCGCCUCAAUGUAGCUUCAAGCCACGGUUCCGAUCCAGGAACCCGAACCCCGACCGGCCCCAGACCCCAGGCUGACUUACAGGGAACACAGGGAGCGGAGAGCAGCCCAGAGCCCGCGGGGCAGGGGGCGCAACCCGGCCCGAGCGCGGCUCUCCGGACCAACGCAGGCACAGACACGGGGCGGGGAAACAGCUCCGGCCUGGGCUACUGGAGAGGAGAUUUCCAACACAUCAGCUUCGGAUCCUG